CUGUGACAUCUUUGCUUUUGAUUCAUUGGUCUGGCGCCGACAACCAAAUCUGUCUUUGGCCUCUUGUCCCUCUCUCUUUCUCGUUCUCACCCAAUUUAUAAAAGAAGCAAUAAACUACUGUAUCGGGAUGAUGGUUUUCCCAUUUUCCCACAGUGCAAAUUGCAGAGAAAAAGAAAACAACUUCACUAAUUUACAAGUUACAACAACUGGCUGACGACAUCGUCUGCGUCACCCUAGCCCAGCUGGGAUCGCUGAUGCCAUCUCAAUCGUCACCAAAGCGACUUCAUCUCCUCUAACGAAAUUUCUCUCCUUCUUCUUACUCUCAAACCUCUCUCUCUCUGUUCUCUGACUCUGUUGCUUUGAAAACGAAAAAUGAAAUUUCGGACCCUCAUUCGGACUUGGAUAUGACUCGUACCCUUUUGCAUCCCAUCUCUCUGUUGUUGUCCUCUUUCCUCUUUGUCGUCAAUCUUGGGAUGUGGUAUUUCUGAGUGGUUGAUAUGGUUGAAAGUUUGCUUCUUUUUCUUGUGGGAAAUUUUGGGUUUUUGUCACAAUUGUCCUAAGAUACGUCCUUCUUUGGUUUUAACUUGUUAUCUUCAUCUGGGUUUUGAAAAUCAGGUCUUUACCAUAUCAAUCAUCAGGAUCACAAGAGCUUGUGUUCUUAGAAUUAGAAAGCGUUUGGGGUCUUAUUCUUCAAGGGCUAUAGCUAGUUUAGAUGUUAAUAUCUUCAAUCAAUGGGUUAUGUGAUUAAGCUUGACGCUGAUACAUCCUAGGCUCCACCUAUAGGUCUGAAGUAGAUUAAUGGCUAAUUCAUCUGAACCAUCAUCCUCUUUAAGCUUUACUUCAUCAUCCCAUAUAUCUAAUGGUUCAAUAAGCCACAACUUUUCUUCCUCUGGUUCUGAAUCCGUGCCUAGUCUUGAAGUCAUCAGUUUGAGCAAGCUUAGUUCUAAUUUGGAGCAGCUCUUGGUUGAUUCUGGCUGUGAUUAUAGUGAUGCUGAUAUCAUAGUUGAGGGGAUUUCUGUUGGCGUUCACCGAUGUAUAUUGGCUUCUAGGAGUAGUUUUUUCUGCGAUCUAUUCAAGCAAAAAAAGGGGUCUUCUGGGAAGGAAAGCAGACCAAAGUACUGUAUGAGUGAUUUGCUGCCUUAUGGCGAUGUUGGAUAUGAAGCCUUCUUGGUUUUUUUGAGCUAUGUGUAUACUGGAAAGUUGAAGCCUUCUCCCAUGGAGGUGUCAACCUGUGUUCACAAUGUAUGUGCCCAUGAUGCUUGUAGACCUGCUAUUAAUUUCGUCGUGGAGUUGAUGUACGCUUCUUCCAUUUUCCAAAUGCCUGAUCUGGUUUCGAUAUUCCAGCGACGCCUUCUUAAUUUUGUUGGGAAAGCUCUGGCAGACGAUGUUAUCCCAAUCCUUGUAGUUGCUUUCCAUUGUCAGUUGAGUCAGCUCAUCGCUCAGUGUAUAGAGAGAGUGGCACGAUCGGAUAUUGAUAGCAUCUCGCUUGAGAAGGGACUUCCUGAUGAGGUUAUUGAGAAAAUUAAAAUUCUUCGCCGCAAUUCUCAGCAAGACUGUGACCCAAACAUGCCAGCAGUGGACCCUUUGCAUGAAAAGAGAAUCAGGAGAAUACAUAAGGCGUUGGACUCAGAUGAUGUUGAACUUGUGAAACUUCUUUUAAAGGAGUCUGCUAUAACCUUAGAUGAAGCCAAUGCUCUCCAUUAUGCUGCGGCUUACUGCGAUCCUAAGGUUGUGACUGAAGUGCUUGGUCUGGGUCUAGCUGAUGUUAACCUCCGGAAUUCUCGGGGUUACACAGUACUUCACAUUGCUGUGAUGCGCAAAGAGCCAUCAAUUAUAGUAUUGCUUCUGACUAAAGGAGCUCGUGCAUCAGAGCUGACAUCAGAUGGUCAGAGUGCUGUUAGUAUUUGCCGGAGGUUGACAAGGCCAAAGGAUUAUCAUUCAAAAACAGAGCAGGGGCAAGAAGCAAACAAGGACCGAAUAUGCAUUGAUGUUCUAGAGAGGGAAAUGCGUAGGAAUCCAAUGGCUGGAGUUACAUCAAUAUCUUCCCAAAUAAUGCCUGAUGAUCUGCACAUGAAAUUGCUGAACCUGGAGAAUAGAGUGGCAUUUGCACGAUUGUUAUUCCCGGCUGAAGCCAAGCUAGCUAUGGUCAUUGCCCAUGCUGAGACAACCUCUGAGUUUGCUGGGCGCUCUUCAUCGAAAGGCUCAAGUGGGAAUUUGAUGGAGGUUGAUUUAAAUGAGACUCCCACUGUGCAGAACAAAAGACUCCAUUCUAGGUUGGAAGCCCUAAUGAAAACAGUCGAUUUGGGUAGAUUCUAUUUCCCUCAUUGCUCGGAAGUCCUGGAUAAGUUCAUUGAGGACGACCUUCCUGAUUUGUUCUACCUUGAGAUGGGCACCUCUGACGAGCAGAAAAUAAAGAGGGUGCGUUUCAUGGAGCUUAAGGAGGAAGUACACAAGGCCUUUAACAAGGACAAGGCUGAGUUGAACCUUUCUGGGUUGUCUUCAUCAUCCUCCACGUCGUCUCCGAAAAAACUUGGUGCAACUCAAAAAGUUAGGAAAUUGUGAGGGCAUGUAAAUUGUAUCUAUUAAGCCUUCCGAGUACGAACAAAUUUUUUUUUGUUUGUUUCAAGGUUACUGACAGAAGCUUAGUAAGUUUUGGCUAUUCUUAUCAGUAAAAUCUUGGCAGAUGCGAAUUGCCCUGUUAACUACACGAACUAUGAUAGCCGCAGAUUAGUCGAUUUGGGUAAGUGACACGUGUUUAGAAGGUAUGUAAAAGUUUCUUUGUACAUGAAAACCAACUCGCUAUUGGAAAAUGAAAGAUUAUCACCAAACAAAGCAGAAUACGAACAGAAGUUCACAUUAAUGAAUUUACAGAGAAAUGCUUAAUACAGAGUCAGUGAGCAUGGAGGCGUCAGCCUGUGUUCAUUCAAACACUUCACCAACAAGUUGAUGUAGAGAUGCGCAUAAGGGUCUUUUGGAUGAA
Molecule: non-coding RNA, 2980 nt
Organism: Prunus mume (Japanese apricot)
Lineage: Eukaryota; Viridiplantae; Streptophyta; Magnoliopsida; Rosales; Rosaceae
Source: RefSeq, a predicted model, not a curated record